Molecule: non-coding RNA, 79 nt
Filed under: Pedobacter suwonensis
Lineage: Bacteria; Pseudomonadati; Bacteroidota; Sphingobacteriia; Sphingobacteriales; Sphingobacteriaceae
Source: RNAcentral
ACCUAAACCUAAUAGCAACGGAAAGCCCGGAUCCCGAUUUUCAUCGGGAGAGGACUUGUAGUGGAUAGCAGGAGCAAAC